UGUUGGAAUAUUUUAUAUUAUUCAAUUAUUAUAUUUCAAUAAUUAUUAUGUGGGCAUAUAUAUUUAUAUUAAUUAUAUUAGCUAUUUAUCAAUUAAGAGCCUAAAUUGAUUAAAUGAUCAAAUAAAGUUAAAAGGCUAUUAGAUUUCUAUUUAGAAUUAAUUAAUUAAUUAUUUAAUUAGUUAGAUAUGGACUCAAAUGGGUGGAUGUCAGGAUGGCCCAUUUCGGGAUAAUGGGAACCCUAAUGGACCAUCACCCUAUAUAAGGCUAUGGUCCCCAAUACACCGUACGU
RNAcentral lists this long non-coding RNA (290 nucleotides) under Trifolium pratense (red clover). Its description in RNAcentral is "long non-coding RNA (TPRA_LNC009798)". The record is from RNAcentral. Lineage: Eukaryota; Viridiplantae; Streptophyta; Magnoliopsida; Fabales; Fabaceae.